AACUUUGUUUUAUGAUUGCAGUAUUUGUGGGAAAUAAAGCAAUGACAUGUCACUGAAAUAUAUGCAAAUAUUUAUACUUUUUAAAUGUUUUUUUUUCUUUUUUUUUUAACUAUAGGAUCAAUUUAUUUUGUGUUAUUUCACAUGACAGCUGUUUUUGUGUGAACUGGAAAUAAACCAACCAGUACUACUGGUGCGACUAGUGCGACUGGUGUGACUAGUGCUACUAGUGCAACUAGUGCUACUAGUAAAGGCCUAAAUGUCAACUAGUAGUACUAGUACUGUAGACAUUAGCAGUAUAUAUACGUAUAGCACGAUCUGUGGGGCAUUUGCAAGUAGUACAAUUUUUAACCUUCACUUUACAUAAUAAAAUUACAUUUUUAGGGCUCAUUUAUACGAUGGAGUAGAGCCAUCUUAAAGAAAAAAAGAGAAAAACAUUUGAGAUUAAUCUUGUAUAUGUACAAGAAUAAACAUGUAAAUUUAGGAGAAUAAAAAAAUGAUGAAAGGAGAACCCCUAAAGCAUUUUCCUCUGCCACAAAAGAGACAAUUUCAUCCAAUAUAUUUUCAGGGUCCUGAUAUUUUAUGACAGUGUGAUGAUGAUGUGCCGAUAAAACAACUUAUCGGAUAUAUUUGUCAAACUGUUUUUACAGACUACACAAGGAAGGAGCCUAUUUCCUUAUUUGUCAAACCUUUACUUUAACAAGAUGCUCCACAUUUAUCAUUUUCGAACAGGCGGUUGCUGCUCUUCUGAUAUAGACUUAAACAAGAAAUGAAUCUCGUACAUUUUACUUUAUUCUCAUAAAUUAACAAUUUUAAUCUCUAAAGGUUUAUAAGUUUUUUUUCCUUUUACGUGGCCCUAAUCUUGAAUCCCUUUAUUUUUCUUAGUUUACCGACUUUAGGCCAAAUUAAAACGUAUUAAGUACAAGAA
Labrus mixtus (cuckoo wrasse) is the source of this 925-nucleotide long non-coding RNA. RefSeq lists it as uncharacterized. The record is from RefSeq and is a predicted model, not a curated record. The transcript has 3 exons. NCBI's taxonomy places the organism in Eukaryota, Metazoa, Chordata, Actinopteri, Labriformes, Labridae.